CUUCCGGUGUCUUCGUGGCAGACGUCUUGAUUGUUGAUGAGGCUGUGGACCUGGUCAAUAGCUCCGCUGUACGGUGUUGAGAAAGAGGUGAGGGGUCUAGGAGGCGAAAGUGGAGGGUUUAUGCGCACUACACAGGGACGGGUCUUAGGGACGGAGACGACGACGCCGCUUGCGGGGAGUAACCGUGCCGACUCCGACCCGGUCGCUGGACUGUCGACGCUCCGCUCCGCGCAAAGGCUCCGAUGGCGGCUCCUGCACUGAGGGACCAACCUCAGGGCAGUGUGACCUUUGAGGAUGUGGCCGUGUACUUCUCCUGGGAGGAAUGGUGUCUUCUUGAUGAGGUUCAGAUACACCUGUAACUUGAUGUCAUGCUGGAGAACUUUGCAGUUGUAUGCAUGCUGGGUUCUUUUCCUGAGUUGAGGAUGAAGAGAUGACUUCUGAACAGAGUGUAUCUGAAGAAGGAGUGUCACAGAUGAGGACCCCCAGGGCAGGUUUGUCUCCUGAGAAGACCCAGCCCUGUAAAAUGGGCAUUGCAGUCUUGAGAGACAUUUUGCACUUGGCUGAAGAGCAAGGAACAGAUAGGGAGCAGAAAGCAUACAGAUGUGGGGCAUGUGGGAAACAGUUCUAUUUCACUGAAAACCUUCAAGAGCACCAGAAGCAGCACAUCAGAGAGAAUCCCAUACAAUAUGGUAUGCAGAGACCCUCAUUUUGGAAAAGCUGCCCAAUCCACACAAUAGGGAAUCUACCUACCUACAUGGAGAUUGGGAAUGACUUCGUGGCCAACAUGGGAGUUCAGCCACAGGCCAUUAUUACCAGGAAGAAAUGAAAAAACAGUAAAGAGUGUGAAGCUGUAUUUCACAGUGGAAAAUAUCAUCACAGCUGGCGAGAAGGCACGAAAGCCUCCAGCCACACAGAAAUACUUGUUCAGGAUGAAAGAGUCCUUACUAGUGUAAGGUUGUGUGCGUACAGCAAAUGUGGGAAAGCCUACACCCAAACAUGUAAACUUAUUCAGCCUGAGCAAGUUCACACUGGAGAAAGGCCUUACUAAUGCAGCCAUUGUGGAAAUUAUUUUAGCCACAAAUCUGGUCCCCUUGGACAGCAGAGAGUUAACUGUGGAAGAACACUCUGUGACUGCAGUGAAUGUGGCAGAUCCUUUAGCCUAAGGAAGUACCUCAGAGCACAUAGGAAGAUCCACAGUGGAGAAAAGGCUUAUGAAUGCAAGGAAUAUGCUAAACCUUUCAUUGAAAAAUGCAUGUUAAUUGAGCAUCAGAGAGUUCACACUGGAGAAAAAGCUUAUCGAUGCACCCAGUGUGGAAAAUCUUUUGCCCGCAAAUCCAAUUUCCUUGCACAUCAGAGAGUUCACACUGGAGAAAAGCCUUAUGAGUGCAGUGAAUGUGGGAAAUCUUUUGUUGCUAAGGGUGGCCUCCACUAUAAUGAGAGAGUUCACAAUGGAGAAAGGCCUUAUGAGUGCAGUGAAUGUGGGCAUUCUUUUACUAGUCGAUCCUCUCUCUAUGAUCAUCACAGAGUUCACACUGGAGAAAGGCCUUAUGGGUGUACUGAAUGUGGGAAAGCCUUUAAGCAAAGACAGCUCCUCCGCAUCCAUAGGAAAAUCCACACUGGAGAAAAGCCUUUUCAGUGCAAGGAAUGUGGUAAAUCUUUCACCCAAAAGUGCCACUUGCUUAAACAUCACAGAGUUCACACUGAAGAAAGGGCCUUAUGAAUAUUGCAAACGUGGCCGGCAGUGAUAUUGAAGGAGUUUCGGGUGGUAAGAGAGUGAGAAGAACCCGUGCAGCUAAUGGACCCUUUCUAGAGAGGAAACUGAGACACAGAGAUGACGUGUCAUCUGUUUGUGAUCUCCCAGAAAUGGACAGUGAUCUGGGCUUCAAUGCCAGGUUGCCUGGUUCAGGAUAUCGGGAGUCUGGUCACUUCACUCAUCCUCUGGCCCCACCUCCAGGUUUGGGGACUGAAAGAACACCUUGUCAAUCCUGACACUUCUAUGCCCCGACACCCACACAAGGAGCCCUGCUCACACCCCAGCCCCAUGCUGAUGGACAGGAUUAUCUUUUCUCUGGGAACCAAUAUUGAUGACUUUCCUGUGACUGACUCCAUUUAUGUAUCCAACAAAUCCAGUGCUGUGAUUCAGUUAUUAUUAUUGGCAUUUGUGAAAGAAGGGGUGUCCAGCUCAGAGAUGUUGAAGGACUUCCACAAGGGCUCAUUAAUGCCAGGCCUUUGAUGAGAGUGGUUCCUCUACACCCUGCACCCGUCCACUGUCUUCUCUCCUGCCCCUCUGAGCAGGGCCUCCACUUGCUGUGUCCUGACCAUGAACUACCCACAUCUGACAUCUGCAUCACUACCAGGGUCUCCAGCUUCAUUUUCACCAGUACACAUCUCCCGGAAACACCGUCCUGCUUGGGAAGUUCUCCACAGGGACAGCAGCACUAAGCCAGGCACUCUGGACUGGUCAUUGGUGUCACCCCAGAUUUGACACGGGCUCUACCGCCAUAUGCAGUGAUUCGUUUCCAAGGUCCUGUCCAUCUUUACAUACCCAGCUCAAGAUGUCCCUGUUGCCCUGUUAUGUGGUUGACCCACUCACUGUUAUGGGCAGUGUGAGGGACACGGAAGGACUAAGAAUGUCCAGUGUGGCCCUACGUGACCUGGUCUCCAAGCAUCCUCUUCCUAAGCCCUUGAUCCAUUGCCUCACUGUUCCUCCCAUCCCUCGAGAAAAAGUGUUAACUCACCAAAAUGAUGAUUGUUAAUUAGCAAGAACUUGCCCUCCCUGCCUUGGGACCCACACUUGAUCAACCUACCUUAAAAGCUACGACUGAACGUAGGCUGGCCCCUCCCAUGAAGACUUAAAAACUCAUGUACAGGGCUUCCCUGGUUGCACAGUGGUUGAGAGUCCGCCUGCCGAUGCAGGCGGUUCAUGCCCCGGUCCGGGAGGAUCCCACAUGCCGGGGAGAGGCUGGGCCCAUGAUCCAUGGUUGCUGAUCCUGCACGUCUGUAGCCUGUGCUCCGCAACGGGAGAGGCCACAAUAGUGGGAGGCCUGCGUACCGCAAAACAAACAAACAAAAAAUGUAUAAAAAGAUUAUGAUUUUAGGGGCUUCCCUGGUGGUGCAUUGCUUAAGAAUCUGCCUGCCAAUGCAGGGGACAUGGGUUAGAGUCCUGGGACGGGAAUUUCCUACAUGUCACGGUGUAACUAAACUCGCAUGCCACAACUACUGAAGCUCGCGUGCCUAGAACCCAUGCUCUGCAACAAAGAGAAGCAACAGCAAUGAGAGUCUCAUGCAGUACAACGAAGAGUAGCCCCCACUCGUGCAACUAGAGAAAGCCCGUGCACAGUAGCGAAGACCCAAUGUAGCUAUAAACAAACAUAAAUAAAUAAAUGUAUUUUUUUAAAUUGUGAUUUUAAUUGCAUUUAUUUCAGGUUCUAUUUUUUUAACCCUAUCACGCAGCACGCAUGAUCUUAGUUCUGACCAGGAAAGUAACCCAUGUGCCCUGCUGUGGAAGCCUGGAGUCCUCACCACUGGACUGUCAGGGAAUUCCCUUUGUUAAGAUUGUUGAUGUUGAAUUUUGUUUUUCAUGUUUCUAUUUUUUACCUGUGUGUCCUGACUGGUUAAAUUUCUAUUCCUAUCUUUUGCUUACUUUUAUUUUGUGAGAUAUGGCUAUUUUCUCUUUUUUUGACAAAAGAGAGCAGGUAAACAACAAAGACAUCUGUUAGAUUUCACUCAUUCAUCAAUAAUGUGAGUGAUUUCUUUUCUGAAUGUAAUUGUAAUUUGGAAUAGUGAAAGAAUAUGUUCUCAACUUUUACUCAGUUUUAUACUAUGCAUAAUGUAAUGGCCACAUACAUUAUACAGGUUUAGGAAUAAUCUGCAUUAUUAAUAUAUGCUACCUUAGUGUUAAGUCCAGACAUUCAAUUACACAGUAAAUUAAUCUCUGGUUUGUAGUGUUUGCCGGUUUCCGUGUGUAAAUAUUCCAACCAUAGCCAAGGUCAAAUUGCCAACAUAAUUUCACUGAACAUUAAUUUGGGAAGCAUUGCCAGUAGCCCACUAUUGUAUUCUUUUCCCACCAUUACAGGUAUAGUAGCUGCAAUUUUAAGAAUGUAGCUAAUAAACCAUAGUAGAAUGAUUAUAAAGUGAUAGGUUUUGCAUCUUUGUUUUGAAAAUCAUUCACUGGAUGAAUAGUUGACUUAAAUUUUGCCUAUUUAAAAUGUAAAUUUUGACAUACUUGUGUACAGCCCUCCAACCAGUUUCCUCCUGCCAUUGUUAAUUCAUCCUCAACAUUAAAAUGACUGAUGCAAGAGCAUACUCUACUUUUGUAAUAGCUAUUUUCAAAUGUAUAUAUAAAUGGAAUGACUGUGUUUGCCCCUUCCUGUAUCUUACAUCAUUUAUCGUGUUUAUGCACACUUUUUUGUGUUUCAUGAUUUACUUAAUAGUUUCUGACAUUUAUAAUCCUAGGUAUCAUGUCUUUGAAUGCAUAAUUUCUUAGAAUGCAUUUCUAAAAUAAGAGAGCCCUGGGACUACCCUGGUGGCACAGUGGUUAAGAAUCAACCUGGGCUUCCCUGGUGGCGCAGUAGUUGAGAGUCCACCUGCCAAUGCAGGGGACACACGUUCGUGCCCUGGUCCGGGAAGAUUCCACAUGCCGUGGAGCGGCUGGGCCCGUGAGCCAUGGCUGCUGAGCCUGCGCGUCCGGAGCCUGUGCUCUGCAACAGGAGAGGCCAGAACAGUGAGAGGUCCGCGUACCGAAAAAAACAAAACAAAACAAAACAAAACAAAAAUGCCUGCCAAGGACUUCCCUGUUGGUGUAGUGGUUAAGAGUCCACCUGCCAAUGCAGGGAACACAACUACUGAGCCUGCGCUCUAGAGCCCACGAGCCACAACUACUGGAGCCCAUGUGCCUAGAGCCCAUGCUCCACAACAAGAGAAACUAUGGCAAUGAGAAACCUGCACACCUCAAUGAAGAGAAACCACUACAGUGAGAAGCCUGCACACCUCAAUGAAGAAUUGCCCCCACUUGCCGCAACUAGAGAAAGCCCAUGCACAGUAAUGAAGACCCAACACAGCCAAAAAUAAAUAAAUUAAAUAAAUAAAUUAAAUAACAAACAAACUGAGACUGGAACUUCCCUGGUGGUCCAGUGGUUAAGACUCCAAUGCAGGGUGCACUGGUUCGAUCUCUGGUCAGGGGACUAAGAUCCUACAUGCUGUGUGGCAAGGCCAAAAAGAAAAAAAAAAGAAAAACAAACUGAGACCAUGAGACCACCUUACACUCAUUUGGAUGGCUAAUAUGUGAUAUAUAUAUUUGUUGUGAAAAAUGUAAGUUUUUAAUCUAAUGUAUUUUUUAAUUGAGCAUUUAUUUAAAAAAAAAACUGUAGAAUUGUUGAUGUUGCACAUCUGGUUAUACCUCAUAAUGGCCUUGUCAGUAUUCUUUGGACAAAAUUAGAAUUUUGGACUGGAUUUAUAAUAUAUAUCAGUACCAACCAUUACAUAUGUUUAUUGUUUCUCCUCCCACCAUAUGUCUCCUCUAUUUCUGCAUUCCAAACAUGGUGGAUAUCUUCAGAUCUCUGAUAACUCUGUGAAGUUAUGUGUGGGGCUCUAGAGGUGUUUUUCGUCUACCUGGAACUCCUGGAUCUGAAUAUGCUUUAAAAAUUUGUUUUUAAAGUAACCAUAUAAGAUACAAGUACAUAAAGACACAAACUUUUAUGUCUAAAUUUCCUGUUUCUUUCCAUAGUACUUACUUAAUUAAAACUUUCUGAAGAGUUGCUACUAGGUAGUAAAGUAUAAGUAGAUUAAGUAAAUUCUGUAUAACUAGAUAAAAUUUUCAUUUUCUGCAUAUUCUAUUAACUCUAGAAAUGCAAGAAUUUAUCUGUUCUUAUUCAGCAAUAUAUCCCAAUUAAUGAAUGAAAAUUGAAAGCCCCUUAGUCAAUCACCUUUUCAUUGUAUUAUUAUUUGUACCUGACCAUCACCUAAGUUAAAAAAUAAAAUUAGGGACUUCCCUGUUGGUGCAGUGAUUAAGAAUCUGCUUGCCAAUGCAGGGGAUACGGGUUCCAGCCCUGGUCCAGGAAGAUCCCACAUGCUGUGGAGCAAUUAAGCCCAUGCACCACAACUACUGAGCCUGUGCUCUAUAACCCACGAGCCACAACUACUGAGCCUGCGUACUACAACUACUGAGUCCCAUGCGUCUAGAUCCUGUUCUCUGCAACAAGAGAAGCCACCGCAAUGAGAAGCCCGAGCACCACAAUGAAGAGUAGCCGCCACUCGCCACAACUAGAGAAAGCCUGUGCACAGCAACAAAGACCCAAUGCAGAGAAAAAUAAAUAAAAAAUAAAUAAAUUUAAAACAAAUUGAGGUCCAGAGCUCUCACGUUGCUGAACUAGGAAGGAGUAGAUCCCAAAAUUUCCCUUAAAAAAAUUAAUUGAUUCACUGCAGAAAUAAGAAGACAAAUGUUUAACAAUAUUAGGAAAAUAUUUUUUUUGGAGCAGAAAUCAUAGAAAAAUCACUGCUGAUGAGAACAAAGGGGCUGAAAGCUGGGAAAUCCGGAACUAGUAGCAGAGAUGUUUCCAUCAGCCACUGGUCUGGAUUUACAAUUACAGUAACACAAAGACUCAAAAUGGAAGAGAGGCAGUAAAAAGAGAUGAAGAAACUCACCAGGAUAAGGAUGGUGCAUGUGGCUUUGGCCACGUGGGGAGGUCUGGGGUAAAGUCUGUUGCUGUGGAUGUAUUGGGCUCGCUGCUUGUAUCUGUGCAGGACAAAUAUCAUGCACCCACAAGUCCAGAUCUUGAAGCCCAAAUAACAUCCAGGGGAUAAAAUAUAAAUGCAUGUAAUAAGCCGAGAUUUCUGUCUGACGUGGCUGAGAAACCGUAUGUAAAAAUUUUUUUCACACAUUUGUGCUGUUUCUAGGACCAAUCACAUUCAUAGGAAUAUAGACAUUUACCAACAGCUGAAGGAACCAGAAAAGGAAAGUAAAGAAGCCAAUGUAUUUGGGGAGAUUGAAUUCUGAAGUCUAUCCACUAAGAGGUUCUGGGGCAAAACUUAAUGGCCAGGAAGCCAUUCAGAAGGCAGGUAGUGCCGAGAGAAACCCCCGUGGCCACUCUGUAAAUACAAGACAAAUGUAUACCCAAGAUCAUAGAGGAAGUGUUUCAAUCCAAAAGCUGUCAUUGUCUGUGGGAUCCCUCUGGAGCUAAGAGCCAAGUUGUUGGGGAGGCUAAUAAAAUAGUCUUGUUCAGGCUUCAGAGACAACAAUAGGCUUUUGACUAAACAAAGACUCUGAAAGAACUACACAUCAAGCUGCUAGACUACAUGCAGGUCAGCAGAAACGGUGCUAGUCAGUCUUGGGAUCCAACAGAUAAAGAAGGGAGUAAGUCACAAAGCUUCCUGGGACUUGGGAAUCUGGCCAGUUCCUGGAAUUCAGCGAACAUUCUGAGACUUACAACUAAAGUAUCAAAAUAUUUGCGUUAAUAGUCAGAGCUGCGUACUUGCACGCAAGCUGAUGACUAUCAGCUUGCGGCUUGGCGUUAAAAGCAGGACUCCUUUGGGCAGCACUCUGUAGUCCCACCCGUGAGGUGGACUCACCGCCCAGGACCUUUCCAACUGGGACUCCAGAUUGCUGUUCAAGGGAAUUCCUAGCUGCCACUUGGAUCUGGAAGUAGGUGUCGGCCCAAUUCGGUGAUGUAUGCUCUGUUAUAUACUCUGUUAAUAUUAUUGCUCUCCCUCUAAUGAUUGUAUAUUGAAAUUUAUAUAGUCUGUUAAUAUUCUUAUUGCUUUCUCUCUAAUGAUUGUAUAUUGAAGUUAAGUUAAAUCACUUUCUAUUAAAGAUUUGAUUGAAGCUGUU
Molecule: non-coding RNA, 7825 nt
Organism: Globicephala melas (long-finned pilot whale)
Lineage: Eukaryota; Metazoa; Chordata; Mammalia; Artiodactyla; Delphinidae
Source: RefSeq, a predicted model, not a curated record